UUUGUAUUUGCAUUUAAGUUUCAACUGAAAAUUGUUUUCAAAUAUUUUAUACUAAGAAUGAAGUUGUUCAGAUAGAUUUUGUUUAAUUGUUUCCGUUACUGACUUAUUCCGUAUUUUCCAAGUACUAGUUUUCAUACAAAGAUUUUCGUUCCAAUUAUGAUGGCAGUAUAGUAGACAAUGAAAGCCAUGCUGAGACAUGAAUUCAUGUUUCUAUCAGUUUGGAAUGUAAAACAUCCUACGCUGAAAAUGGACUAUAGGAUACUGAUAAUAAGAAAUUGUUUUAUUCAACAUUGACGUAUGUCAGAUCACUCAAGGCAUGCAGAAACAUGAAUUCACAUUUCUACCACUUAAGAAAGUAUCAACAUCCUAUGCUGAAAAAGGACUAGAAGAUACUGCUAAUAAUAUUGGGUUUAUGUAAUGUGCGUAUGGCUGUACACCAGAUAUACUCAGGACAUAUUGAUACAUGAAUUACCAUUUCUACCACAUGGGAAAGUUUCAACAUCCUACGUUGAAAAUGGACUGGACGAUCCUGAUAAUUAUAAUAGUUUUAUGCAUAAUGGCUGUACACCAGAUAUACUCAGGACAUAUUGAUACAUGAAUUACCAUUUCUACCACAUGGGAAAGUUUCAACAUCCUACGUUGAAAAUGGACUGGACGAUCCUGAUAAUUAUAAUAGUUUUAUGCAUAAUUGACGUAUGUCAGAUCACUCAAGGCAUGCAGAUACAUGAAUUCACAUUUCUACCACUUAAGAAAGUAUCAACAUCCUAUGCUGAAAAUGGACUAGAAGAUACUGCUAAUAAUAUUGGGUUUAUGUAAUAUGGCUGUACACCAGAUAUACUCAGGACAUAUUGAUACAUGAAUUACCAUUUCUACCACAUGGGAAAGUUUCAACAUCCUACGUUGAAAAUGGACUGGACGAUCCUGAUAAUUAUAAUAGUUUUAUGCAUAAUUGACGUAUGUCAGAUCACUCAAGGCAUGCAGAUACAUGAAUUCACAUUUCUACCACUUAAGAAAGUAUCAACAUCCUAUGCUGAAAAUGGACUAGAAGAUACUGCUAAUAAUAUUGGGUUUAUGUAAUGUGCGUAUGGCUGUACACCAGAUAUACUCAGGACAUAUUGAUACAUGAAUUACCAUUUCUACCACAUGGGAAAGUUUCAACAUCCUACGUUGAAAAUGGACUGGACGAUCCUGAUAAUUAUAAUAGUUUUAUGCAUAAUUGACGUAUGUCAGAUCACUCAAGGCAUGCAGAUACAUGAAUUCACAUUUCUACCACUUAAGAAAGUAUCAACAUCCUAUGCUGAAAAUGGACUAGAAGAUACUGCUAAUAAUAUUGGGUUUAUGUAAUAUGGCUGUACACCAGAUAUACUCAGGACAUAUUGAUACAUGAAUUACCAUUUCUACCACAUGGGAAAGUUUCAACAUCCUACGUUGAAAAUGGACUGGACGAUCCUGAUAAUUAUAAUAGUUUUAUGCAUAGUACGAGUAAUUGAUAUUGAAUAUAAUU
Rhopalosiphum padi (bird cherry-oat aphid) is the source of this 1504-nucleotide long non-coding RNA. RefSeq lists it as uncharacterized. NCBI's taxonomy places the organism in Eukaryota, Metazoa, Arthropoda, Insecta, Hemiptera, Aphididae. The record is from RefSeq and is a predicted model, not a curated record. The transcript is spliced from 11 exons.